GACAGAGGGUGCAAACGUUGUUCGGAAUUACUGGGCGUAAAGGGUGCGUAGGUGGUUGUUUAAGUCUGUUGUGAAAGCCCCGGGCUCAACCUGGGAAUGGCAAUGGAUACUGGACAGCUAGAGUGCGGUAGAGGGUAGUGGAAUUCCCGGUGUAGCAGUGAAAUGCGUAGAGAUCGGGAGGAACACCAGUGGCGAAGGCGGCUACCUGGACCAGCACUGACACUGAAGCACGAAAGCGUGGGGAGCAAACAGG
Molecule: ribosomal RNA, 253 nt
Filed under: uncultured bacterium
Lineage: Bacteria
Description: partial 16S ribosomal RNA
Rfam family: Bacterial small subunit ribosomal RNA
Source: RNAcentral